UCCGGUUUGACACCGGCAGUCUCCUUAGAGUGCCCGGCAUAACCCGCUGGUAACUAAGGACAAGGGUUUCGCUCGUUAAGGGACUUAACCCGACAUCUCACAACACGAGCUGACGACAGCCAUGCAGCACCUGUGUACGUUCCACGGCAAGCCGCGUUACUACCCUUUCAGGUAGCUAAUCCGUACAUGUCAAACCCAGGAUAAGGUUCUUCGCGUAGCCUCGAAUUAAGCCACAUGCUCCACCGCUGGUGUGAGCCCCCGUCAAUUCCUUUGAGUUUCAGCCUUGCGACCAUACUCCCCAGGCGGGGUACUUAACACUUUCGCUACGGCAGGAGGCGCCAUCGGAACGCUUCCUACCCAGUACCCAUCGUUUAAGGCUAGGACUAC
RNAcentral lists this unclassified non-coding RNA (387 nucleotides) under uncultured Planctomycetia bacterium. RNAcentral's name for it is "contains 16S-23S intergenic spacer region". Lineage: Bacteria; Pseudomonadati; Planctomycetota; Planctomycetia. The record is from RNAcentral.